AAAAAGGGCUUGACACAUCCCGAACCGAUCUCCAUAAUUCGCCUUCUCUUGGCGAAUUAGCUCAGUCGGUUAGAGCGACGGAAUCAUAAUCCGCAGGUCCGGGGUUCGAGUCCCUGAUUCGCCACCAA
Molecule: transfer RNA, 128 nt
Filed under: Burkholderia mallei GB8 horse 4
Lineage: Bacteria; Pseudomonadati; Pseudomonadota; Betaproteobacteria; Burkholderiales; Burkholderiaceae
Description: tRNA-Ala
Rfam family: tRNA (bases 51-124)
About the family: Transfer RNA (tRNA) molecules are approximately 80 nucleotides in length. Their secondary structure includes four short double-helical elements and three loops (D, anti-codon, and T loops).
Source: RNAcentral